GUACCCGAGGCCGGGCCGGAGCCGCAGGCCAGCCGCGAUUCCUUCGGGCGAUGCUGGGGGCUUUCCGGUCGGGGCCGCAGCCGCUUCCGGAGCCGCGGGCGAGGUGCGUUCCCCAGCCUGGUUUGCUCUGGGCUCUGACCCGCCGCCGCGAAUCUCCGCUCGUAACUCCGGGCCUGAACCUGGAGGAGGGAGGAUUUCCUCUGUGCAGCUUUCGAGCGGUAGACUCACCCUGCCAGGCAGACCUAGAUUGGCAUAACCAGAGAUCAGUUCCAGUUGUGAUGCAGUGGGUGUCUACACACUUCUGAUGACACCUUUAUUUUAAAAGCUGAUGUUCCAAGAGUCGGGGUUUCACCGUGUUAGCCAGGAUGGUCUCGAUCUCCUGACCUCGUGAUCCGCCCACCUCCGCCUCUCCAAGUGCUGGGAUUACAGGCAUGAGCCACCGCGCCCGGCCCUUGUAUUUUUAAACUUUGACUUUAUGGAGACGAACACCAUCGUUUGCUGAACACUUGAAACAUGAUGAAAGAGCCACAGAGUUGGCAGAACUGUUUGAAAAUGCUGUGCAAGCGGUCUUCUCUGUCUUCUUUAUGGCCAGUAAAAUUCUCCAGAAGAGAUUUAUGGCAGCCUCACUCCCAGUAGUUUCUGCAUUUAGUGAGAUAAGGAAUGGAUUUUCUUCUGUGUAUUGCUGACACGAACAGGAGACGGAAAUACUGAGUAGAAGAGGGCGGUUCCCUGGCUAAGGCCCCACCCUCAAGCCUGGAUACCCGCGGCCCUAAAUGAGAAGAGGCGUUUCUGUUUGGGGCCCAAAAAGUUGCUUUUUGACCCACCACGCCCCCUAUCCUGCCCCCAUAUAAACCCCAAACCCCAACCUCCAGAGCAUACCAGCAGGUGAGGAGAUACGAGGCAAGCCGACUGACGGCAAAACGACGUAGCAGAGAAAGAGAGAAGAGGAGGGACGUCUGGACACCGAGAGAUGUUUGGCUCGGGGCAGUCAGAGCGGAGUCCAGCCCCUGGGCGGCCCAACUCCAGGGGAAGAUCACCUUCCCACUUCAUCCAUCCCCACCCUUCCAGCUCCCCAUCCAUCCUGCUGAAAGCCAUUUCCACCACUCAAUAAAACCUCGCAUUCAUCCUUCAAGUCCGUGUGUGACCCGAUUUUUCCUGGAUUCUGGAAAAGAGCUCGGAAUACAGAAAGCUGUCCCCUGGUCCUUUGCCCUUGUGAAAAAGCAGAAGGUCCAUUGAGCUGGUUAACACUCCAGCUGUCUGUGGUGGCCAAGCUGAAAGAGCUUUGUAACACUGGGGUUGCAGGCACCCACCUCUAGACGCUACCGCAGAGCCAGAGCCCAAAGCCCUCACCCCGGCCUCUGCACUUGCCCAUCUGCGUGCUCCCCCUCUCGCAAGGGGUUUCUGCAGAGGGGGCUACUGAACAGGUGAGCCACACCCCUGUCGCACGCCCUGCAAGGGGAAUCAGGGAACUCUUCCGUUUCAUUGCUUUGACCACAUCCUAUAAAUCUUGUUCUCCUUGUCUUUCAGCUCCAAUUUGUUUAUACAUUCAGUUUUUACUUUUGACUUUACUCAUGAUUUAUUAUAGAAAGAUGUUUAACAAUUUUCAAGCAAAUGGAAUAAUUUUUGCUCCUCUUUCGUUGUUAAUUUAUUAUUCAUUGGAGUUAGAAAAUUGUUGCUAAAAUAAAUUCUGCAUUUUGAA
Molecule: long non-coding RNA, 1699 nt
Filed under: Homo sapiens (human)
Lineage: Eukaryota; Metazoa; Chordata; Mammalia; Primates; Hominidae
Description: non-protein coding LINC01184:44
Source: RNAcentral